Long non-coding RNA from Marmota monax (woodchuck), 1134 nucleotides. RefSeq lists it as uncharacterized. The record is from RefSeq and is a predicted model, not a curated record. The transcript is spliced from 4 exons. NCBI's taxonomy places the organism in Eukaryota, Metazoa, Chordata, Mammalia, Rodentia, Sciuridae.
AUGAAAAUGCACGGUCUAGCUCUUAUUUACAACAUUUAAUCUUUUAACACUGAGUCGGAAAAGAAUUUAAAUAAAUUUCCUGUGGUAAUUUCUCUCCUGAAAUUUGAUUUUUUUCACUCAGUACCUUAUUUUCUCUCCACAGACAGUGAAGGCUCUCAGGCUCCCUCCUGUUUAUGAAGUUUGAAGGGAGCUUUUUCCUUCAUCAGCCUUCACCGCCCAUCGACCAUCGUAGCACUGAAUACAGAUUGGGGAUUCAAUAAAUGCUACUGAAUAAUACUUCCUUGACAUCUUCAGGCUGGUGAUCUUUACCAAAGCAGGUAAGCCAAUAAAGGAAGAGCCCAAUGGUCAUCAAGCUACAUCUGUGGUCUCCUUACUUUAUGAUCAGAUAGAAUCCAUCUCCCGGUGUUCCCAUGGUGGAUAUCAGGAAUAAUGAUGUCCUAAGGCUUUCUAGAGUCACAGGUAGAAGAAGUCUUGGACCCCUCAGUCACCACACGGAAGAGUUACAGCCAAUCAAAAAUAUUUACCUUGAAGUUUAUUUAUUUGUUCACUUAUAUUUUGUGAAUAAAAAUAAACUUCAGUUUUAUUUUUGCUGUUGAACAUUUUUGGACCUCUUUGUCACAGCUAUUUGGUCUAACCCAAAUGAUACACCCAAUGUUUGUGAGCUGAUGCAACCUUGUCUGUCGGAUUACAUUGGACCUGCCACAGAGAACAAUUAUGAUUGCUGUUAUGAUUUGGAUAUGAAGUGUCCCCCCAAAGACUCCUGUGUUGAAGGCUUGGUCCCCAACGAAGCAAUGUGCAGAGGUCAGACUUUCCGGAAGUGAUUGGAUCACAAGGGGGUAUGACAUCAUUGGUGAAUUAAUCCACUGAAAGCUGAAAUGGACUACUGUGAGAUGAAGGAAACUGUAGGUAGGCUGCGCAUGGUUGGAGGAAGUAGGUCACUGGAUCCAUGCCUUUGGGGACUCUGUCUUGUCUCUGGACACUUCUUCCCCCCUCUCUUUCUGCUUCCCUGCCUCGAUGAGCUGAGCAGCUUUCCUUUGCCAUACCUCAGGCCAAGAAUGAUGGAACCAGCCAACCAUGAAGUGAAACCUCUAAAACCAUGAGACAAAAUAAAUUUUUACUCUGUUAUUACUGUCA